CAGCAGCCACGGUAAAACGUAGGUGGCAAGCGUUGUCCGGAAUUAUUGGGCGUAAAGGGCUCGCAGGCGGUUUCUUAAGUCUGAUGUGAAAGCCCCCGGCUCAACCGGGGAGGGUCAUUGGAAACUGGGAAACUUGAGUGCAGAAGAGGAGAGUGGAAUUCCACGUGUAGCGGUGAAAUGCGUAGAGAUGUGGAGGAACACCAGUGGCGAAGGCGACUCUCUGGUCUGUAACUGACGCUGAGGAGCGAAAGCGUGGGGAGCGAACAGGAUUAGAUACCCCCGUAGUCCCUGUCUCUUAUAA
RNAcentral lists this ribosomal RNA (301 nucleotides) under uncultured bacterium. Its description in RNAcentral is "partial 16S ribosomal RNA". It matches the Rfam family "Bacterial small subunit ribosomal RNA", at positions 509 to 809 of the family's 1533-position model. The record is from RNAcentral.